Molecule: ribosomal RNA, 305 nt
Filed under: uncultured bacterium
Lineage: Bacteria
Description: bacterial SSU rRNA
Rfam family: Bacterial small subunit ribosomal RNA
Source: RNAcentral
UCCUACGGGAGGCAGCAGUGAGGAAUAUUGGUCAAUGGCCGCAGGGCUGAACCAGCCAAGUCGCGUGAGGGAUGACGGUCCUAUGGAUUGUAAACCUCUUUUGUCAGGGAGCAAAGGGCGCCACGUGUGGCGUUUUGCGAGUACCUGAAGAAAAAGCAUCGGCUAACUCCGUGCCAGCAGCCGCGGUAGUACGGAGGAUGCGAGCGUUAUCCGGAUUUAUUGGGUUUAAAGGGUGCGCAGGCGGAAUGUCAAGUCAGCGGUAAAAUUUCGGGGCUCAACCCCGUACUGCCGUUGAAACUGCAUCC